UCGGGAAUAUUGGACAAUGGUCGCAAGCCUGAUCCAGCCAUGCCGCGUGUGUGAUGAAGGCCCUAGGGUUGUAAAGCACUUUCAGUGGGGAAGAUAAUGACGGUACCCACAGAAGAAACCCCGGGUAACUCCGUGCCAGCAGCCGCGGUAAUACGGAGGGGGUUAGCGUUGUUCGGAAUUACUGGGCGUAAAGCGCACGUAGGCGGACUAUUAAGUCAGGGGUGAAAGCCCGGGGCUCAACCCCGGAACUGCCUUUGAUACUGGUAGUCUUGAGUUCGAGAGAGGUGAGUGGAAUUCCGAGUGUAGAGGUGAAAUUCGUAGAUAUUCGGAGGAACACCAGUGGCGAAGGCGGCUCACUGGCUCGAUACUGACGCUGAGGUGCGAAAGCGUGGGGAGCAAACAGGAUUAGAUACCCGUGUAGUCC
Molecule: ribosomal RNA, 424 nt
Filed under: uncultured prokaryote
Description: bacterial SSU rRNA
Rfam family: Bacterial small subunit ribosomal RNA
Source: RNAcentral